Molecule: ribosomal RNA, 493 nt
Filed under: uncultured bacterium
Lineage: Bacteria
Description: bacterial SSU rRNA
Rfam family: Bacterial small subunit ribosomal RNA
Source: RNAcentral
AGAGUUGAUCAUGGCUCAGGACGAACGCUGGCGGCGUGCUUAACACAUGCAAGUCGAGCGAUGAAGCUUCUUCGGAAGUGGAUUAGCGGCGGACGGGUGAGUAACACGUGGGUAACCUGCCUCAUAGAGGGGAAUAGCCUUCCGAAAGGAAGAUUAAUACCGCAUAAGAUUGUAAUAUCGCAUGAUAUAGCAAUUAAAGGAGUAAUCCGCUAUGAGAUGGACCCGCGUCGCAUUAGCUAGUUGGUGAGGUAACGGCUCACCAAGGCGACGAUGCGUAGCCGACCUGAGAGGGUGAUCGGCCACAUUGGGACUGAGACACGGCCCAGACUCCUACGGGAGGCAGCAGUGGGGAAUAUUGCACAAUGGGGGAAACCCUGAUGCAGCCAACGCCGCGUGAGUGAUGACGGUCUUCGGAUUGUAAAGCUCUGUCUUCAGGGACGAUAAUGACGGUACCUGAGGAGGAAGCCACGGCUAACUACGUGCCAGCCGCAGC